This 1002-nucleotide ribosomal RNA is filed under the name Triticum aestivum (bread wheat). RNAcentral describes it as "partial small subunit ribosomal RNA". The record is from RNAcentral. Lineage: Eukaryota; Viridiplantae; Streptophyta; Magnoliopsida; Poales; Poaceae.
AUGAUGCCGCCCGAGAUUUGCGGUGCCCGUGUCGAGGCGAUCCCGAGGCGAUCGUCAUGGAAGUUUGAAUCGGCAGAUCCGGUUAAUGAUCCACGAGAAAUUGAGAGGAAAGAGAAGAGAUUUGUUCGCCCAUGGAGUGCCCAGGAGGAUUCAGAUCCACUGGGAUUGCGGGAGAAGUGGACCAAGACGAGGGAGUCGGUACGCAGGUACGCUGAAAAGAGGAAGGCAUCCUUGAAUCAUCGACAGGAAAGCGGAGGAAAUCAUUCGGUUAACCCGAACGAGGGAUUUGACAGGAUUCGAGGCAAAGUCCAGCAAAUGAGGUCUGAUCUGCAGUACAAGUUUAUGGCAGUAGAUCAUAAGAGAGAGGAAAGAGAUCACGAGCUUUCCCAUAUAGCAGAUCCGCCAGAUAAAGGAGGAGGUAUGCUGCCGUAUAAGGAGGAUCCAAAUAUGCUUGCAACGGAAGACAAUCACGUCGUGUCCGAGUCUGUUGAUCUGAUGCCAUCAAACGAGUGGAACCCAUGGGCUAUUAAGAGGAGGAUCGAGGGAUUGAGGCACCCACCUGAGGCCAUUCAAUCCCCCACCAUAGACCACCCAACAACUAUGGCGGACAAAUCCCACCGUGAGGGCAAGGAGCCUAUGGAGCAAUCCGGCAAGCUGGAGGUGAUCGGCAAGAGCAAGCUGGUCUCAAGGCCGCUGUUACGUGGUGGUUCUUCGAGGGGGAGCGGUGAUCCGUACCGCACCCCCUCGGGUCAAGGAGGAGCGGCACCUCAAGGUUCCGGGAUGGCAGGCAGAGGCGUUGUCACACCUGCCUUCCCGGUCGCCCUGGAGAAGAAGGCUCCAAAUGUGGUGCAACUGAACCUGUCCAAGGAGAGGGCGGCCAUGCGCACGAGAUGGAUAGCUGUCGGGCUGUUCUUCUCGGUGCAGCUGUUCAGCAUUGGGGGACUGUUCAAGGAGCUCAAGAGCAAGUGGGGUCUGAGGGGGCGACUCAUCCAUCGCCUCUAA